CUGCACCCACAACAUAUGGAAGUUUCCGGGCCAAGGAUUGAAUCCGAGCUGCAGCUGUGACCUAUGCCACAACUGCAGCAACACUGGAUCCUUAACUCACUGCACCAGAGCAGGAACUCCUAUUUUCUUUCUUUCUUUUUUUUUUUUUUUGGUCUUUUUUGUCUUUUUGUCUUUUCUGCGGCCACAGCCUUGGCACACGGAAGUUCCCAGGCUAGAGGUUGAAUCAGAGCUCUGUAGCUCUGAUUUGACCCCUAGCCUGGGAACUUCCAUAUGCCGUGGGUGUGGCCCUAAAAAGCAAAAAAAAAAAAAAAAAAUCCUAAAACAUAUUUUAAAUAAAAAUUUUGAUCUCUUCUUUGAAAUAUGACUGCCUUAUUUUAAAACUUAAAAAAAAACCCAUUUUAAACUAUUAUAAGGAGAGAGGGCAUUUUAUAGCAGCGAAGUCAGAGAUUCCCCAUCACUCAGAUAAUUUAAAUUUAUCCUAGGCACCUAAUAAUGCAGCUCAAAAGAACCUUAACAAAAAUAGUAAAAACUCCUACUGUCCCUCCCCCUUCACUCGUGUGUCCUAACAACUAAACUUGACAAAAGGAGGGAAGGAAAAGGAUCAUGAUUUUGUAGUCCCAGAUUUUCCAUUUCUCCCAAACUUAAAACUUAGUUUAAAAAGUGAUAAAGAGAGGGGGUUCUAUAUGAAGUUAAAGAUUAAACUGAAUGACAGAUGUAAAAAACAAACUGAAAAGUUUAACAAUAUUUAACAUGAAAUCUGCCUAUUACAUAAAGGACAGAUGUAAAAAAUGUUUAAUAUUGGAGUUCCCAUCGUGGCUUGGCAGAAAUGAACCUGACUAGUAUCCACAAGGAUGAAGAUUUGAUCCCCGGCCUCGCUCAGUGGGGUAAGGAUCUGGCGUUGCUGUGGCUGUGGCCUAGUGUGGGGUAGGCGGCCACGGCUCCAAUUUGGCCCUUAGCCUGGGAACCUCCAUAUGCCGCAGGUGCAGCCCUAAAAAGAUGAAAAAAAAAAAUGUCUGAUAUCAUUUUAACUUCAUCCUCAUGAAACAUCCAAGUUAAAACAAUAAUUAUUAAAUUUUUCCUUAUUAAACUCCUGAUCAUAGUUGACUCCCAUUCAUUUCUAGUACUCAAAUAAUGAUCUAAGCACAGUGCAAAUGGAAAUAAUGUACUUACACUGGCACAAAAGUAGACUUCCCAAUAUUUUACACUUGGAAGAACCAUUUUUAAGUAACCCAUUAAAAAUUUUUAGAAGAAAUGUUCACAUCUUCAAUUCAACAAGUCUGUAGGUUAGUUUGCUUUUUGGUUUGUCUAUUGGUUUGGGGGUGGAGGUAGGGAUAAAAGUCAAAGUAACAUUAUUUUCAGAGCUCAUAAUAUAUUGUAUUAUACAAGUCAGUCUUUACAUUUCCAGAUUUGCUUGUUUCAGCCAUGCCUUCAUUUCGUUAACUAAAGUGACCUCCUGUAGAUUUCUGUCAAGUCCACUUGUAACACAUUCAACAGAGAGGAAUGAUCAUUUCCCACAGGUCUGGUGGGGGUUGGGUGGGGGAGGGCACAAAGUAGAGCUAAGGGCAGCACAACGUAGAGCACAAGGCAGAGCUAUGGUGUGAGAGUUAAGUGUCUCAUCUCACCAGCACUCUC
Molecule: long non-coding RNA, 1632 nt
Filed under: Sus scrofa (pig)
Lineage: Eukaryota; Metazoa; Chordata; Mammalia; Artiodactyla; Suidae
Description: lncRNA (ENSSSCG00005037259.1)
Source: RNAcentral